UGUCAGGGAAAGAUCUGACUUCCUGCUACGAGCAAGCAGAGCAUAAAGAUAAGAGAGACCGGUGCGGGGAAGGAGUACCUCAGCCAAGAAAAUUAUGCAUGCGUUAGGGAAGCUGUGAGAGAAUGGCUGUGGAAGCUCUCCACUGCGGUUUGAAUCCACAGGGUAUUGAUCAUCCUGCUCAUACUGAAGGCAUUAAACUGCAAAUUGAAGGUGAAGGUGUUGAGUCUCAACCCAUUAAAAAGAAACAUUUCCAGAAGGUGCUUGACCAAAAAGGAACCCCCAAGCGACUGCAGGCAGAAGCUGAGACGGCUAAGUCAUCUACGGUGAAGCUGUCAAAACCAGUGGCUCUGUGGACUCAGCAGCAUGUCUGCAAGUGGGUGAAGAAACAUUGUCCGAAUCAGUAUCAGAUCUACAGCGAGUCAUUCAAACAGCAUGACAUAACUGGGCGAGCUUUGCUGAGACUUACUGACAAAAAGCUUGAGCGAAUGGGGAUUGCCCAGGAAAACCUCCGGCAGCACAUCUUGCAACAGGUGCUCCAGCUGAAGGUGCGGGAAGAAGUCAGAAACCUACAGUUACUCACACAAGCCUCAAUCGACGGUUCUCCAUAAACGUGGUGAGCCUUCCAAGAUACUCUCCUGCCAGUGGAUAUGAACAUGACCUGCUCCUCCCAGAGAGACUAACUCAUGGCCCUGCCAGACGAUCCCCUUGGAGCAUUGACAGAUUAGCCAGAUUAACUGCGGGGGAAAGCACCCAUCCAGUCAAGCUGAUGGGCUUUGGAAAAUCUUAGCUUGCCGUAGAUUUGAAAUCGAGGUGCAUUACAUGCAGUGCCCACUCGCUGCAAGUGGUCAUCGGCAGACGACUAGCUGGAAAAUUGCUUCCAGUUUUCAUCACUGUGCAUCACUCCGGGCCCCUUCGGGGAGCUGUCUGUGCCCCUCCCUGGAAGUCCUGUUUCCGCAUGGCAACUACUGGAUUCUCUUACUAUGUGUGCAGAUGGCAUGAUGUGUUAGACAACAAUUACAGCAGUUUUGCA
RNA transcript from Myotis lucifugus (little brown bat), 1030 nucleotides. It is a transcript of the gene named sterile alpha motif domain-containing protein 12 pseudogene, with no coding region annotated. The record is from RefSeq and is a predicted model, not a curated record. NCBI's taxonomy places the organism in Eukaryota, Metazoa, Chordata, Mammalia, Chiroptera, Vespertilionidae. The transcript has a single exon.